This 21-nucleotide non-coding RNA is filed under the name Arabidopsis thaliana (thale cress). Lineage: Eukaryota; Viridiplantae; Streptophyta; Magnoliopsida; Brassicales; Brassicaceae. The record is from RNAcentral.
GUACUUUCAAGUAAAUGAGGU